UACGUAGGUGGCAAGCGUUGUCCGGAUUUAUUGGGUUUAAAGGGUGCGUAGGCGGCCCUGUAAGUCAGUGCUGAAAUAUCCCGGCUUAACCGGGAGGGUGGCAUUGAUACUGCGGGGCUAGAGUACAGAUGAGGUAGGCGGAAUUGACGGUGUAGCGGUGAAAUGCUUAGAUAUCUGGAGGAACACCGGUGGCGAAGGCGGCGUUCUGGACUGCAACUGACACUGAGGAACGAAAGCCAGGGGAGCAAACGGG
RNAcentral lists this ribosomal RNA (253 nucleotides) under uncultured bacterium. Its description in RNAcentral is "partial 16S ribosomal RNA". It matches the Rfam family "Bacterial small subunit ribosomal RNA", at positions 524 to 776 of the family's 1533-position model. The record is from RNAcentral.